UACGUAGGGGGCAAGCGUUGUCCGGAUUUAUUGGGCGUAAAGAGCGUGUAGGCGGCUUUACAGGUCCGUUGUGAAAACUCGAGGCUCAACCUCGAGACGCCGGUGGAAACCGUAGAGCUAGAGUCCGGAAGAGGAGAGUGGAAUUCCUGGUGUAGCGGUGAAAUGCGCAGAUAUCAGGAAGAACACCCGUGGCGAAGGCGGCUCUCUGGGACGGUACUGACGCUGAGACGCGAAAGCGUGGGGAGCGAACAGG
This 253-nucleotide ribosomal RNA is filed under the name uncultured bacterium. RNAcentral describes it as "partial 16S ribosomal RNA". It matches the Rfam family "Bacterial small subunit ribosomal RNA", at positions 524 to 776 of the family's 1533-position model. The record is from RNAcentral.